UUAGGUCCGUUUUAAUGGCGGAGAGGAAAGUCCGGACGUCACAGGGCAGGAUUCCUCGCGAAAGCGAGGGAGGCUCGCUUCAAGGCGGGUCGACGGAUAGCGCCACAGAAAAUAUACCGCCACCUUCGCCAAGGCUUCGGCGGGCAGGCCCCGUUCAGGGGAUCUGUUUGGUGAAGGAGGCAAGGGUGAAAUGGUGGGGUAAGAGCCCACCGCCGCUUCGAGCAAUCGAGCGGGCAGGGCAAGCCCAAUCCGACGCAAGACAAAAUAGGGGGCAGAGCGGCCCGCUCGCCAAUGCCCCGGGUAUGUCGCGCCUUUUUCGAAAGGGGCUCGCACUUUGCGAGUCAGAUAAAUGAACGCGGUUCCGCCUCGGCGGUCCACAGAAUCCGGCUUAUCGGCU
Molecule: RNase P RNA, 397 nt
Filed under: marine eukaryotic metagenome
Description: Bacterial RNase P class A
Rfam family: Bacterial RNase P class A
About the family: Ribonuclease P (RNase P) is a ubiquitous endoribonuclease, found in archaea, bacteria and eukarya as well as chloroplasts and mitochondria.
Source: RNAcentral